GAGUUUGAUCAUGGCUCAGGAUGAACGCUAGCGGCAGGCUUAACACAUGCAAGUCGAGGGGUAUUCUAGCAAUAGGAGAGACCGGCGCACGGGUGCGUAACGCGUAUGCAAUCUACCUUUCACAGAGGGAUAGCCCAGAGAAAUUUGGAUUAAUACCUCAUAGUAUAAUGACUCGGCAUCGAGAUAUUAUUAAAGUCACAACGGUGAAAGAUGAGCAUGCGUCCCAUUAGCUAGUUGGUAAGGUAACGGCUUACCAAGGCGACGAUGGGUAGGGGUCCUGAGAGGGAGAUCCCCCACACUGGUACUGAGACACGGACCAGACUCCUACGGGAG
RNAcentral lists this ribosomal RNA (333 nucleotides) under uncultured bacterium. RNAcentral's name for it is "bacterial SSU rRNA". It matches the Rfam family "Bacterial small subunit ribosomal RNA", at positions 9 to 347 of the family's 1533-position model. The record is from RNAcentral.